This 1645-nucleotide long non-coding RNA is filed under the name Sus scrofa (pig). RNAcentral's name for it is "lncRNA (ENSSSCG00000053043.1)". The record is from RNAcentral. Lineage: Eukaryota; Metazoa; Chordata; Mammalia; Artiodactyla; Suidae.
AUUGAUUAUAUUUAUUCUUCUUCUACUCUCUGUUCCAAUCUCUAUUCGUUUCCCUCCUGUGCUUUUGUACAGGACAGGGUGUGACCUCGCUCACACCAUGAGGGCCCUUGCUUUUCCCCACAUGAGCAUAUCAUCUUUGGACAUGGAUAUUCAUGGGGAGCAGUUGGGGGGAUUCCCCUUGAGUCUCCAUAAUCUUCCAGGAAAGCAUGUUCAGCUUCCCCAGAGAGGCUGGGGAGGGGGCUCUUCUUUGGGGUAAACCAAGAGCUCCACCUCCUCAAGGGGGCGACUUGGGCCUCUGGCCUCAGAGAGACACACGGGAAUUCUCUGCUAAAAAGGCCUCUGGAGGCUCAAGACAAAGUCCUCACCAUGGCCCAGAAGGCUCUACAGGACCUGGCCCUCAUUACCCCUUCACCAGAUCUCCUACCCCUCCCUCCAUCAUGCUGAGCCAGCCAAAUCAGCCUCCUCACCUUCUCACACAUGACAGACUGAGUUACACCCCGGAACUUUUCCACUGACCCGUACCGAACUCGGGGGAGGGGGGGGGCAUGCAUCUCUUUCAGAUGUUCCUCUCCUCUAGGUUUCCGCUCAAAUGUCACAAUCUUAGAAAGACCUUCCCUGACUGCUCUUUCUAGAUAGGCCCCCUCCUCUCUAUUUGACGAUUCUGAUUUAAUUUUAAUCACAGCAGUUACCAACACCUGACAAAUCACAUACCUUUGGGGGCUGAAUAGAAUAGACCCUCCAUGAGAGCAAGGGUUGUUUUUCUUCUCUUUCCCAACACCCAUAAUUUUUGAUGCAUCCUUGGAGGGAAGGAAUGAAUAGAGAGAUUCAAAGUUGUUCAGAGAAGUAGAGCUAGACAGGCCUAGAAUUCUGCCAGGGAACAUGUUCAGAGGUAACAGGAUAGUGACAAAUCCUGUGGACUUUAUCUCACAUACUCAGGGGCAUAGCAACCCCUGCGAGAUGGACUUUACCUAACAAGCAAAGGUCCCGUUGUCCUUUUCCCCCAGUACUCACAGUCAAGGACAGAGGCCUGCCCCCUCAUCAGGACUUCGGAGCCCAGUCGGGACCUUUCUCCCUCCUGCCCCUGAGGGACUUUGGCUGGCUUCCGCCAGUAGGCCUGUUCUGUAUGACCCAGUGAGGCAUAAACAAGCCCGAUGCCCAGCACAGAGAAAACGCUUGUUAAAGCUCCCUGUUAUAGUGGUGCCACUUCAGGGAGGUAAGUAUCUGUUUAGGAAGACUUCUUGCCGAGUCCACCACUCCAGCGAAUUGUGAGGUUUUCAUCCUAGCUGUAUCCUCCCUCCCUCUGUGGAUCAGCCUGGAAUGGUCCAAGGGCGUCUGAAUGGGCUCUUCUGCGAUGCCACCACCAUGGGGCGCGCGAGAUGAAACAGUUCUGUCCUGGGAUGUACCACUGAGGGGCGGAGGUAAGGCCAUCCACUCAGGAGGGUACCGUUAGGGAGGCGGCUCCAUUAUGGAAUAAUGCGUUAUGUUCCAACACUGAGGGUCCCCUUAAACCACCUAGGGCAUCAGCCACAGUUCCCGGGAGAGGCACGCAUGGUGCCACUGGGUCCAACUUUCUUUGCUCCACUCUGUUCUCCUACAGCAUUUGAGCCGGAGCGGACACUGAGUCCCAUGCUGCAGCCUUCUUUGU